GACGAACCGUGCGAACGUUGUUCGGAAUCACUGGGCUUAAAGGGCGCGUAGGCGGGCUGUCAAGUCUGGGGCGAAAUCCCACGGCUCAACCGUGGAACUGCCUCGGAUACUGACGGCCUCGAGGGGGGUAGGGGCGUGCGGAACUGUGGGUGGAGCGGUGAAAUGCGUUGAUAUCCACAGGAACUCCGGUGGCGAAGGCGGCACGCUGGACCUCUUCUGACGCUGAGGCGCGAAAGCCAGGGGAGCAAACGGG
This 253-nucleotide ribosomal RNA is filed under the name uncultured Gemmata sp. RNAcentral describes it as "partial 16S ribosomal RNA". It matches the Rfam family "Bacterial small subunit ribosomal RNA", at positions 524 to 776 of the family's 1533-position model. Lineage: Bacteria; Pseudomonadati; Planctomycetota; Planctomycetia; Gemmatales; Gemmataceae. The record is from RNAcentral.